GGUUGAUCCUGCCAGUAGUCAUAUGCUUGUCUCAAAGAUUAAGCCAUGCAUGUCUAAGUACAAACCAUCUUAAGGUGAAACCGCGAAUGGCUCAUUAAAUCAGUUAUAAUUUACUGGAUGUAAACUACUUACAUGGAUAACUGUGGUAAUUCUAGAGCUAAUACAUGCAAAAAAGUCUUGCCGCAAGGCGGACGCAUUUAUUAGACCAAGACCAAGGGUGCUCUCGGGUGCCUACUGGUGGUGACUCUGAAUAACUGUUAGCUGAUCGCAUAGCCUCGCGCUGGCGACAUAU
Molecule: ribosomal RNA, 292 nt
Filed under: uncultured eukaryote
Lineage: Eukaryota
Description: partial 18S ribosomal RNA
Rfam family: Eukaryotic small subunit ribosomal RNA
Source: RNAcentral